UAGGUAUGUUCUUUAAACCUAAAGAAUUUGGCGGUAAUUUAGUCUAUUUAGAGGAAUUUGUCCCUUAAUCGAUAGUCCUCGUUUUAUCUUGCUUUAUUUUGUAUAAGUUCAGUAUGUAUACCGCCGUUAUAAGUUUAUUUUAUUAGAAUAUUUAAUUUACUUAAUAUAUUAAUAUAUUAUAUUUCAGGUCAAGGUGCAGUUUAUAUUAAAGUGGAGAUGAAUUACAAUAUUUUUUGAACAAACGGAUUUGAAAUUUAAAAAUUUUAAUGAAGGUGGAUUUAAAGGUAAUUUUUUUAAUAGUGUUUAUUUGAUUAUAGCUCUAAAUUAAGCACACAUCGCCCG
This 342-nucleotide ribosomal RNA is filed under the name Entoria sp. SB0355. Its description in RNAcentral is "partial small subunit ribosomal RNA". Lineage: Eukaryota; Metazoa; Arthropoda; Insecta; Phasmatodea; Phasmatidae. The record is from RNAcentral.